Molecule: long non-coding RNA, 308 nt
Filed under: Malus domestica (apple)
Lineage: Eukaryota; Viridiplantae; Streptophyta; Magnoliopsida; Rosales; Rosaceae
Description: long non-coding RNA (MDOM_LNC013478)
Source: RNAcentral
AAAAUCCCAAAAAGAGUUGUUUUUGUGUGCUUAUUUGUGUCUUAGGGUACCUUCCAACACAAUGAUGAGGAUUCAGUUUGUAAUUGCAUGACUGUUAAAGAGAGUUAUAAACAUGGAUGAAAGUUUGAUUUACUCUUUAUUUAUGCGUGGUUGUGGUUAUAACUUAUGAAAUCAAAUGUAAUCAUAAAAGAAAAAAAAUUAGUUUUUGUAACAUGCUUGAAGGAGAGAACUCAAACGAACGCUACAACCUUGUGAGACUUGAGCUUAAACGUUUAUUUGGAGAGUUAAAAUCUGUGCAUUCUUGUUUU